This is a non-coding RNA of Podarcis lilfordi (Lilford's wall lizard), 76 nucleotides long. NCBI's taxonomy places the organism in Eukaryota, Metazoa, Chordata, Lepidosauria, Squamata, Lacertidae. The record is from the annotation of a GenBank genome assembly.
GCUGGACAGCUCAGUUGGUUAGAUCAUGGCGCUGAUAAGGCCAAGGUGGCAGGUUCGAACCCUGUAUGGGACAGCU